AUCUAACUUUCGAGUCUCAAAUAGGACGAAACACGUGUCGAACUGGAU
Molecule: non-coding RNA, 48 nt
Filed under: Schistosoma margrebowiei
Lineage: Eukaryota; Metazoa; Platyhelminthes; Trematoda; Strigeidida; Schistosomatidae
Source: RNAcentral